This 492-nucleotide ribosomal RNA is filed under the name uncultured bacterium. Its description in RNAcentral is "partial 16S ribosomal RNA". It matches the Rfam family "Bacterial small subunit ribosomal RNA", at positions 29 to 507 of the family's 1533-position model. The record is from RNAcentral.
AGUGAACGCUGGCGGUAGGCCUAACACAUGCAAGUCGAACGGCAGCACAGUAAGAGCUUGCUCUUACGGGUGGCGAGUGGCGGACGGGUGAGGAAUACAUCGGAAUCUACUUUUUCGUGGGGGAUAACGUAGGGAAACUUACGCUAAUACCGCAUACGACCUACGGGUGAAAGCAGGGGAUCUUCGGACCUUGCGCGAUUGAAUGAGCCGAUGUCGGAUUAGCUAGUUGGCGGGGUAAAGGCCCACCAAGGCGACGAUCCGUAGCUGGUCUGAGAGGAUGAUCGGCCACCCUGGAACUGAGACACGGUCCAGGCUCCUACGGGAGGCAGCAGUGGGGAAUAUUGGACAAUGGGCGCAAGCCUGAUCCAGCCAUACCGAGUGGGUGAAGAAGGCCUUCGGGUUGUAAAGACGUUUUGUUGGGAAAGAAAAGCAGCAGGUUAAUACCCCGCUGUUCUGACGGUACCCAAAGAAUAAGCACCGGCUAACUUCGUG